Molecule: RNA transcript, 6554 nt
Organism: Cloeon dipterum
Lineage: Eukaryota; Metazoa; Arthropoda; Insecta; Ephemeroptera; Baetidae
Gene: Rab3-GEF
Gene name: Rab3 GDP-GTP exchange factor
Exons: 33
Source: RefSeq, a predicted model, not a curated record
CGCCCGUGAAAUUAAUCAGUGUCUCAUUUCCAGUGCACAAAGACACAUGUGACCUGGCGGAGCAAUCAGCGGCGCCCACACCGGCAAUAUUAAAUACCCCCAUAUUAACCUCAAGCGGUGCAGUUGACAGAUGGAAGCAGCAGGUUUAUUAUCAAGAGAAGUGACGUCACAUCCCCCGUAGUGAACCAGGAAAAGCGGAAUCAUUAUCACCGCAAGCAUGAAAUAAUAUAGCAUACGCGUCAGGCCGCGGUCGCAAAGACGUACAUCGAGGGUGGGCGCCUCCGUUAUUUUUGCACCCCUCCUCCCACACCGCAUUUAUUUCGGCCCUGCUCUCGAGCGUCUAUUUGGCAAAGGCAUAUAGACCACCCCAUUGCCAGGAGAAAACCGCGGCGGACGAGUGCAGCAAUGAGGUCAGCAGAGCUCGAGAGGGGGGUGGAUCGGGGUUGGAGCAGGGCACAUGCGCUUUAGCGCGCGUUCGCCAUCGAUCACCACCGCUCGAGCUGUGAGAAAAGUGAAGCAGGGUGGGCCGCGGCUGCCAUUUACCCCGUGGAGCUCACGGAUAGCAGCAUUGGCCUCAAAGAGAAGCGACGGGUGGCCGGUGCUACGAUGAGGAGAGAGCGACCGAGGUGACCUGAGCGAGCAUGUGCGACGUGCAGAAGAAGUUCCUCUGUCCGCGGCUAGCCGACUACCUUGCCAUCGUGGGAUGUCGGCAGCCGGCGCGAAACAACUCGGGGGGCAUCCAGGCGCCCGAGCUACUGCGCAGGUACCCCGUGGAGGACCACAAGGACUUCCCUCUGCCUCUCGAUAUGGUCUACUUCUGCCAACCUGAGGGUUGCGUUUCCGUCGGGCCACGCAGAACUGCCCUGAGAGAGGCCACCUCCUUUGUGUUCACGCUAACAGAGAAAGACUCUGGAAAAUCGCGUUAUGGCAUAUGCGUCAAUUUCUACCGGCCGAUUGAGCGUGCAGGCGCGCCCGGUUUGGCAGGCAGUGGCCGUGGGGACCGAUCAUCCACUUUCCGCAGGGAAUCGUGGCGCAAGAGCAUGGAAAAAAGCACAGACUCGGCGUUCUCCAGCGACUACAGGAGCACAGUGGCGCCGAGUGACUCUGAUCGCGAGGGUAGUCGGCGUGACUCUGAGCACCAUCCACCACCAAUCCCAGGCCCACCGCGGAUGGGCAGUCUGGCGGCGCCGCCGGUCGCGUGUGACUCAGAGAGCGGUGGUUCGCAUUCGCCGUCGCCGCGGGCCAGCCGGCGGCGUCAGAGGGUGCGCAACCACUCUCUCACCUCGCUGUGCUUGCUGUCGCACCACCCCUUCUUCUCCAAGUUCAGGGAGUGCAUGUUCGUCCUGAAACGCAUCAUCGACGCGUGCAACGACAACAUCUCGCCAAGAAGGGUUGGCUCUAGACAGAUUGCGAGAGAUUCGGUGUGGAGCGUAUUGGCUGGCAACGUGCACGACAACAUCCCCAGCAUCGUGAUGCACGACGUGCGCGAGAUCGAAACAUGGAUCCUGCGACUUCUGAGCGCCCCUGUGCCUGUGCCAGGGAAAACUCGGGUCGAGCUGGACAUAAUGCCUAGCUGCAUGCACGCACCCCUCUGCUUCGCGCUGCCAGACCACACCAGGUUCACCCUAGUCGACUUCCCCCUCCAUCUUCCCCUGGAACUGCUCGGUGUCGAGACUUGCCUCAAAGUUCUUACUCUAAUUUUACUCGAGUAUAAGCUGGUCUUACAAUCAAGGGACUACAACGCCCUAUCAAUGUCAGUGAUGGCCUUCGUGAAUCUGAUCUACCCCCUUGAGUACAUGUUUCCCGUAAUUCCAUUGCUGCCUACUUGCAUGAGCUGCGCUGAACAGCUCCUUCUAGCACCAACACCUUACGUAAUAGGAGUGCCUGCCAGUUUCUUCAUGUACAAAAAGAAUUUCAAUAUCUGCAGGCUACCUGACGACAUUUGGUUGGUAGAUCUGGACUCUAAUAAAAUAUCUCCACCGUCGAACAAUGAUGACCUACCUAAUCUUCCUGAGCCUGAGGGAACAAUUCUUAAAAAUCAUUUAAAACAGGCUAUGCAGCUCAUGGAUCAGGCUGGCGCAUUAAGCAAUAUGACAUCUGGAUUUGGAGAUCCACCACCUAGGGAAACUCCUCCACCACCAGGUGUAAAAUCAAAUUCAGGGGGUGCGUUUAACCCUUUUAUUUAUGGAAGUGACGUGGACAGCGUCGAUGUUGCGACAAGAGUGGCAAUGGUGCGGUUCUUUAACUCUCAAAAUCUGCUGGCCAAUUUCACCGAACACACGCGGACCCUGCGUUUGUACCCUCGGCCGGUGGUUGCCUUCCAGAUUAAUAGCUUUCUGCGAUCACGACCGCGCAACUCGAACUUCUUGAGUCGCUUCGCCCGCACACAAGCGGUCGAAUUUCUUGCCGAGUGGUCGCUCACCCCAAGCAAUGUAGCGUUCCUGCGUGUUCACACGGGGAUUUUUGAUCCGACGCAGAUCGGGGACAAGGCCAAGUGGUUCCACAAUGCGUUGGAGCCUAUCCACUUUGCGGCCUGGGACGAGAACAGUUCUCUCAGAGGCGCCUUGAAAGCUGCUGAGCAGGCGGAGCACGGGCCAAAAACCGACGAGAGUGGCUCAGAUAGCGAAGGUGCCGAGAGCACCAGCUCUUCUUACUCGUCUCUCAGUGACUUCGUGUCGGAAAUGGUCUCCUCUGAUCUGUCACCCAUGGGCCAUCACGAACACACGCCAAUGUCACUGAGCUCAGGACUUGACGCUAAGUCAAUUUAUCACCCACCGUCCUCCCUGCAGCUUCCAGGAGGGAGGGAGCAGGAAUUGCUGGCGGCAGCUGAGGCAGGAGGCCAGGCUGGCUCCUCGCCACCGUCCACCUCGUCCAGUCGGAGUGAUCUCAGCUCACCCAGCUUCAAUCGGGACUCUGAGCUGGAGUUUGCGCCAAGGGUUAAGGAGGUGGAAGGGAUGACGAAAAACGAAGAUCCAAGCCCUGAGGAAUCUGACUCGAACUCCACGACGGCAACGCCAAGGACUGUGGUAGCUGCACACCAAUCACCGCCCCAGAGGCAAUCAAGCUUUACUAGUGUCUUGGCACGAGCGUCGAGUCUGGGUUCAUCAGGUCGACAGGGCAGUCAGACCUCCCUGUUAGAGCAGUUUGCCUCUCAGGCUAAAGAACUGGUCAAGGAAACCACCAGACAGAGCUCGCAGGACGGCCUGCUUGCACAAAUGGAUAAACUAAAAAUGCAAGCUCGUGAAAAAAUGGGAUCCACCGAUUCUGCCGGAAGUCACGAUUCUGGUGAUUUAAGAGAAGUGUUCGCUCCACUAGAGCAGUUCACGCUCAAAGCGAAGAUUGCGGCUGAGGAGGCGGGUAAGAGUGUUCAAGAGGCGAGUAAAUCGGCUAUCGAAGCCAGCAAAAGCGCAGCUGGAAUUAGCAAAAAUACUCUUGGUGACCUGACCUACGUUGGGAAAACUACUCUGGGAGACCUCACGAAAAGUGCCAAAGAGGCUGCGUCAAAGAAAGGAUUGCUCAAGUGUCUGCCGCUACAUCACCAGGGUAUGGUGCCACAACAGCAGCAGUCCCCGCAACCCCCAGAGCAGCACAGUACGUCAUUGGUGGCACCUGAGCUCGGAAGGACAGCUGGCAGGGAUUUCUUCUCCAACCUGAGCAACGAGAUGAAUGGAAUCGCAGCGCAGACAACCAGCAUGUUUUCCAACAUGUUCGAGGGCGGGCGUGGCUCGAAGCGCACUGUAGCAGGCCCUUCCGUAAUUGCCCAAGCAACCGCAAACGUCGUCCAGCAGAGGCCCAAGGAGCCUCCUAGGACGCAGCCUUUCGGUCCAUUUCCGACAGGUCGCAAAGGAUUGGUAGAGAAAUCGUCGCUUAUAAAGCACGCACCACCAAGGAGGGAAGAAAUUCCACGCGGUGAAAGAAACACGACAAACGUGGAAAAUCAGGCUUUCCUUAAAGAUGUCAUAAACCAAGUUCUUGCCGGUGAAGGCGUUGGUUGGCUCAAGCUGAAUAGACUUAAGAAGUUAAUGGAGGACGAAAGCUACCGGAACCUAGUUUUGAGCAAGUUGAACAGGACCCUGGACAGGAAAGUGGGACCAGACGACCACCUUGAUGAUGUCUGUGUCAGUCGAGCAGUUUGGAAAGGAAUGCUGAAAACGAUUUUGGCCGUAGUCCAUGGGUUGGAAGUGACCUACUCGAACUUUGGCUUGGGAGGUAUGGCAUCAGCGUUCCAACUUCUCGAGGUUGCCCACACGCAUUACUGGUCGAGGGACUUCAACGAAAGCGCCAACACGCUUGAGUUGAGCGGUGGAAGCUCGGCCGCAAUGCUCUCAGGCGCGUCAAGUCCUUUCGGGAGCAAAGAAAACCUGAAGUCCCCUCACAGCCCUCAGGGCUCUCCAAUACCGCCUGACCUUCACGACCUGAGCAGAAAGUCAUCGCACUCGGACGUUUCUUGUACACCAAGGAGGCUUUCCCAGGGUCAUGGUGAAGAAGGAGACCAUAGCGCCGCUGAGGUCCUUCGGGAUGUGCUGAACCAAAAGCGGCAAAUCCUCAUGGCUAAAUUGUCAUCCCAAGAUCAAGAUAACCAACAAGUUGAAGACGCCGCAGAAGAGAGCGACGCCGGCAGUAUAAUCACCAACCCCGCUUUCCUACAAAGACAACGACCAGGACAGCAGUCAUUUAGAAGCACAGUCUCUGAUAGCGAGGUUGAACAGACAAAUUUCCCACGCCAGGCUCGUCGCAACCAAAGCGUCUGGUCCAGCAAAUCAUCCCUCAGCUCAGGAUUCAGGUUACCAGGUGCAAAUAUGGGGCAAAACGUGGGCUCACCCAGUCCCGAAUCUGGCCGCACAUAUCUAUACGAAGGACUGCUUGGCAAAGACAGAUCGACAUUGUGGGACCAAAUGCAAUUCUGGGAAGACUCGUUUUUGGACGCAGUCUCUCAAGAGCGGGACAUGGUUGGCAUGGACCAGGGUCCUCGAGAGAUGAUGGAAAGGUAUAGCCACCUGAGCGACACGGAACGAAAACGUCUGGAACAUGAGGAGGAUAGGCUACUUGCCACCCUUUUGUACAACGUCACGGCCAUGAUGGUCAUGGUCAGCGUAACUCGACAGGAGGUUCGCAACAAAGUCCGACGCCUACUUGGAAAGAGCCACAUUGGUUUGGUGUACAGCCAGGAAGUGCACGAGUUGCUCGACAAAAUAGACCAAUUCAAUGGUAACGACAUUGACUUGAGACCUCUCGGCUCGCGGCAAAUGCAUCGCCAGAGUUUCACGGUUCACCUAGGCGUCGACUCGACCGGCAACCUACUCUUCUUAGAGGUACGAGAGGACGGAUUAGUGUUGAGAUCCGUGAACGGGGCUAUUGUCGAAAGGUGGUGGUUUGAAAGGCUAGUCAACAUGACCUACAGCCCCAAGACCAAAGUGCUCUGUCUCUGGAGGAGAAAUGGAGGACAAACGCAACUCCACAAAUACUACACUAAGAAGUGCAAGGAACUGUACUACUGCAUAAAAGACUCAAUGGAAAAGGCGGCCGCGAGAGGAUGCGGGGCCCAGGCAGGAGUCGAGCUAGGUGGAGAGUUCCCAGUGCAGGACAUGAGAACCGGCGAAGGAGGACUGUUGCAGGUCUGCAUGGAGGGAGUUGGACUUCUUUUUGCACAUAGCAAGGAUUUCGAGUUUUUUGUACGACUAGAUCACAUCCGCAAGUGCUUUACUCAAAAGGGAGGAAUUUUUGUCCUCGAAGAAUUCAAUCCAAAAACUCGAAUGGUUUUACAAAGAAGAUACAAGUCUGCCAUGGACGACGCAAUUUUGCUCUCCAUACACCGAGUCUUAUCGGUUCAGAUUGCUCAGACAAUCGAAUGCCGAAGGCCAAGCCAAACCACCGAUUCUCAACGCUAAAAACAUGUGCAUGCUUUGUCCUCUCCGCCUUUGUUUUGUUGUGUUUUGCGUUGAUUUCCACACACGCUGGCUGAUCAAAUUUGCUACGCGGUUCUGUGCGUGUUUUCUUACGUGGCUGCCGGACAGGAGCACCAAAAGAAGCAACAGCAAGCGUCCAAGACGCCUGUGAAACAGUAAAAAAACGGCCUCCAAUCCACCAAAGACUCCUAAGUGAUCGACAAUAUGAAAUCUUUCAUUUCGCCGCGCAGCUCCACGAAAAAUACAAUAAACCCACAGUAAAAAAAUUGGACGUUUUUAACAGUAGAUGAUAUUAAGACAUGCUGUUUUGAAUUGAAGUUUAGAAUUUUGCAAUAUAUCAUUUGUUCCCACUGUCACAUCAGUUGAGGUUGUUACACUGUAGGGAAGCUAAAUCAAAUAAGAUGCAGCAAUUGCAGCAUUAUUUGCUUAAUUUAACAAAACACGAAGACAGAUAUCGUGUGGAGGAAGUCUAAUAAUAAUGUAAAAAUAUAUGAUGCAGGGCAUAAAUGCAGAUGGACACACUGUUAGUAUAAAAAUCAAAGUUAUAUAUCACGCACUCUGGCUAUAUAAAUCCAGGAGGAAUAAAGAAAGAGCGAACAUGCUGUUAUUGUAAAUAAACAACAGAAUGACUAUCUUGAGGCAAACGAA